Molecule: ribosomal RNA, 497 nt
Filed under: uncultured bacterium
Lineage: Bacteria
Description: partial 16S ribosomal RNA
Rfam family: Bacterial small subunit ribosomal RNA
Source: RNAcentral
GAUGAACGCUGGCGGCGUGCCUAAUACAUGCAAGUCGAGCGAACAGACGAGGAGCUUGCUCCUCUGACGUUAGCGGCGGACGGGUGAGUAACACGUGGAUAACCUACCUAUAAGACUGGGAUAACUUCGGGAAACCGGAGCUAAUACCGGAUAAUAUAUUGAACCGCAUGGUUCAAUAGUGAAAGACGGUUUUGCUGUCACUUAUAGAUGGAUCCGCGCCGCAUUAGCUAGUUGGUAAGGUAACGGCUUACCAAGGCAACGAUGCGUAGCCGACCUGAGAGGGUGAUCCGCCACACUGGAACUGAGACACGGUCCAGACUCCUACGGGAGGCAGCAGUAGGGAAUCUUCCGCAAUGGGCGAAAGCCUGACGGAGCAACGCCGCGUGGGUGAUGAAGGUCUUCGGAUCGUAAAACUCUGUUAUUAGGGAAGAACAAAUGUGUAAGUAACUAUGCACGUCUUGACGGUACCUAAACAGAAAGCCACGGCUAACUACGUG